This 360-nucleotide ribosomal RNA is filed under the name Triticum aestivum (bread wheat). Its description in RNAcentral is "partial small subunit ribosomal RNA". The record is from RNAcentral. Lineage: Eukaryota; Viridiplantae; Streptophyta; Magnoliopsida; Poales; Poaceae.
AUGUAUAUCCUACCGGAGGGCGUCCAUGGAUCCUUUGAUAAGGAGCUUGCUGGGUUCUUCUGGCAGGCCGCCAAUGGGCGCCAGAAAUAUCACGUGGUCAAGUGGGCGGACAUUUGUAUGCCUAAGGGCCAGGGUGGCCUGGGCAUUGUGGCCUCCCGUCAUCUGAACUUCGCGCUCAUGUUGCGAUGGGUGUGGAGGAUAUUGCGUGGAGAGGGUGGCUUAUGGCUACAGCUCAUUCAUAACAUGUUCUCGCUCAGCAGGAUCACAAUUUUGGCGAUCCAUCCAAAGGAUCAAGGAGGACAUCCGUUUAGACAUUUCCUUCUCAAAAGGGAAUGGGGACGGGACCCAAUUUUGGUUUGA